GUCAGACAACCCAGAGAGAGCGAGUGCCGUGAGGGCUACGGACGUCGAGGCCCACCCAUAAAUUGUUGGCGUCCGUGCCCCCUCUUCACUAGGGUUCCUCCUGUCCCCAUCCGCCGCCGCCACUCCUUCCUCCAUCCCCAUCCAUCUCUCUUUCCCCCCUCACGUGAUUUCUCUGUAGCUAGGUUGAAGAGAGAGUGAGGUAGUGGCCGCCGGCGUCUACCCCUGCUCCCGUCGUCGUCCGGUGCCGCCACCAUGUCUAGGGGCUCGGGGGAGCACCCCGCGCUCCAUUCCCGUCCUCGGUGAGGCCGGGAAGCAACCUCACCGACGAGCUGCACCUCGUCAUCGACGUGCACCCGGUGUUCUUCGUCCUCUACUUCGGCUGCAAUAGGGUCCUCUUCAGCGCCUCUUCUUCCCCUUCGGAUCGUCCCGUUCCGGCCUCUUCCUCCUCCGAUCGGCGCCUCUCCUUCCUUCCCUAGGUGAGCCCUAGCUCUUCUCCCUUGCCCUCGCUAGAUCCGGUCGAAGUUCAUCGUGCAGUGUGUUUUGUUGUUGUGUAUGGGCUUGCGUGGCUCAGAGCAUACCUCGUAGUAGCUGCGGUAGUAGCUGUGGUCGCUCCCCUCUUUGGCACAGCAGUAGCGAGGCCUUGCACCGGCGAGCCUCUGCCAUCGACGCGAUGCAGUAGUAGAGCAGGGCGUUGUGCUAGUUUACCUUGUUUUAAACCUCUGUUCUGUCAAGAUCUCGAUGAGUGUCCCGGUGGUUUGCAGCGCGUGCGUUUUGAAUGUGCUAGUCGCAGGUGCUGGGUUCGAGUCACCCCCUUUUGCAUUUUAUAUUUCGGCACAGUAGCGUUUGCAGCAGCAGAGCAGUUUAGCCUGCUUAGGUGCCCUUCUCUGUCGAACCAGAGCACCUCUAGCAGAGUGGUAGUGUUGAAGUGUUGUGUAGCAUGAGGUGCAGGGUUCGAUCCCUCUCCCCCUCGUUUUAUUUUUGCUGUGUAUUUAUUUUUCUUGUGCUGUUUUCACUUUGCUUAUUUUUGCUGUGUAUUUAUUUUUCUUGUGCUGUUUUCACUUUGCCUAGAUAUGUUCCUUGCUGUGGUGUGAUAAGCAGCAAGGUUGGUAUUUUUAUUUGCCUGCCACAAGUGGGUAUUCUCCUAUGCUUGAGGUGGUGAUAGGGAUAUCAUGUGUAGGUGAUGUCUUGGUCAUGUGGAGGUGUGGGCUUUGGAGCUUAUGUACAUGUGCUGAUCUAGUUUACAUGUGUGUGUUUGCACUAGUAGUGCAUGUAUAGGAUGUGGGUGUAUGUAUAUAAAUGUUCGCUCGAUUAUAUGUGUGUGUGGGUUCCCCCCCGCCACAUACCUUGUGAGUGUGCUUUUGUAGUUGUUCAUGUUAGGAUGUGUGUGUAUGAUGUUGUGUGAGUGGUGUGUGUGUCCCACACAUGCUCAAGUCAUGUGGUUCCUUGAUGAGCUCAUGUGCAUGGGAGUGUAGGUAGUGUGUGUGGUCUAACAAGCAUGAGUAGGAAUGCAUGUUUGUAGUGUAUGUUGUGGUGAUGUUGUGCUUGAUACAUGUGAGUGUGUGGUGGUCUGCCAAGGCACAUGGGCAUGAGGUCUACCCCUCAUGUGCCCCAUUGAUGUUGUGGACAUGUGCAAGAGCUUGUGUAGUUGUUGAUCUAGUGAUUUGCACAUGUGAUGAUGCACUAUUCACUAUAGAUGAUUCUAUGUAGGGUUUCUUCUCUAGUUUGUGACCAUUUGUUCUAUACAAGUGCAUAGGUAUUAUAUAUGCUUUUGGGGUAGAAUCAUCCCAGGAAUCCAUUGGUGAAGUCAGUUUUGCCUUUGUAACACUUUCUGGAGAUGAAUUAUUUCAGAUUUGUUCUAUGUUUGGAGCUUGGUCUCAUGAGUUGUGGUGAGCCCAAGAGGUUGAUUCCUUGUUGUGCCAUUAGAGGGUGGCCCCCUCUACCACUUGUUGCUUUUGUUUCAUGCUUAGGGAUUCAUAUGUGCAAGAGGUGCUUAGUCAAAGUAGGCAUGUGGCUGAAAUUCCAGAUUAGUGAAAAUCUGUGAUUUUCACGAAGCCUGAGAAUUUGCUUAUAUUUUCUUCUCAUGUUGUUGAGUUUGUGGAGGUCCAUGUGUUCUGAUUCAGCCUUAGCUAUCAACUGGGAAGUUUUAGCUUUUGUGUUUGGCUAGCUCUCUGUAAAUUUUCAUUCCAUUUGGAGUCUUGUAGAUAUUGUUUUGGGUGCUGUCAAAAUGCUUCAGAUCAUAAACAGCUAGUGAGAAUUUGGAAUUUUCACUAAGUCUCUGAAAACUGAUAUUUUGGCCAAGUUAGCAGCUGUGUAACUUUCUGUGUGUAACUCGUUUUCAUUAUAUUUUUGCUUGUCCUUGUAGUACUCUUGGAUAUCUUUUGCCACAUAUAUGAUUUGGCAUAUUUGGGUGGUUGUAGGUGCUUUGCAUGUAGCUCUCAAAGUGCUAUGAUGCUGUUUAUGGCAGAUUGUGUAGUUUUGGUGUUUUGUUGAUUGUGAGUGCAUAGAUGAUGGUGUGGUGUUAUUCUUUGCACCACCCCAUCCAUGUUGGUUUGUUUUAUGUCUUGGAAACCUGGAAACACCAGAGUUAUGCCAUUGGGGUGUGUUGUGAUGUAUUUGACACGUAGCACUUCAUUUCUUGUUUUAUUGUUUCCCGUUGAUCCGUAGCUCCGUUGGUAAUGUUAUUUAUAUGCUUUUGCAUCGUUUUCACGUGACGCAUAUGAUCAUGUCAUUCUCAUGCAUGUCAAGAUAGCUUAGAGUGCAUUUCUUCCCAGGAACUUGUAUUGUCUUCUCAUGCUUGUGCUAGUGAGUAGAAUAGAGAUGCAUGCCCAUAUUCAUCUCAUGCAUCAUGUGCUUGUUGCAUCUUGAGGUGCUGUUGUUCAUUGGAUGUUAUUUUUUAUGUUGGGUAGCACCGGGAUCGGAGAAUGAGUACGUGGAUUCGAGAGUGUACGUGUAGGACGAACAAGAGCAGUUCCAAGCUGAGGAUAUCACAGGUAAGAUGAUAUGACCUUGAUUCCAUCUCUAGACUUGUUAUGCUAGAUUACGUUUCUUCGUCAUAUGCUCGCUGCCUACCACUAAAAUAAUUGCCUCCUGAAUUGCCAUGAAACCCAAACACUUAUCCCUUCCUAGCAAAUCUUGAAUGGCUAAGUAGGCUUUGCUCAGCUACUAAUGUUAGUGUUGCUAGUUGCAGGUGCAAUUGUCUCAUGUGAUAACAUGAGUUUGAUAUCAUUAUGCUAAAUCUGUUAUUUAAUUAAUGCACCUAUAUACUUGGUAAAUAAUGGAAGGCCUAGCCUUUUGCCGGGUGUUUUGUUCCGUUAUUGCCGCCAUAGUUACCGGAUACCGGUGUUUGAUUCCAUAAUGUUCGCUCCUAACACGUUCGGGGUUGUUACGGGGACCCCUCGAUAAAUCGCGUAGUGCUAACACUUGUCCGGCAGGACCCAACUUUGGUGUUAAUUUGCUAAUCACUUAAUAAUAAUCUGCAUAGGGAAUAGCUACCCCGAGGAAUUUAAUCAACAACCGGGGCCAGUGCUCCUCAUGAGUGUUGGUCCAACCCAGAGCAGCUUAUUACGCUCCCCGGGGCAACUCGAUGUUUUGGCGUGGUAACAGUCCCUCAUCCGACGUGUCCUGAGAACUGAGUUACGCGGCUCUUAUCAGGGUCGUCGACAGUCGGGAGGUCCUGCUAGUCUUGUCCUACCUUAGCGAUAUAUCUUGCGUAUAGGAAUCCCGGUGAAACUUUGAUUCGCCCCAGAGUUGAAAUUUCCUCUAAGGAAUCCGACGAGAUCACGAGAUUCGCGAUAGAGGAUUACUUUGCGGCCCGUGUACGUUUGUGAUGGACUAGUUGGAGCACCCCUGCAGGAUUUAAUCUUUCGGAAAGCCGUGCCCGCGGUUAUGUGGCAACUUGGAAUAUUUGUUAACAUCCGGUUAUAGAUAACUUUAACAUAACCCUAAUAAAAUUGCUAACUAUGUGCGUAACUGUGACUGUCCCCUUCGAAGACCUCUCUUCGAUCGGGAACACGGUGGGGUUAUGAUUGAUGUAAGUAGGUGUUCAGGAUCACUUAGUGAUCAGUUUAUCAUCGAUCGCUAGUAUAGACCACCUUCAAUUUAUGUUCUUCGUAAGUUAGCCACCACAUAAAGCUUAGGAUGCUGCAACCUAAAUACUCCACCUUCCGACCUAAUAACUUGACUAGUUCUGGCACCGAGGUCAUAGAUUGCUGAGUCCCCGUGGCUCACAGAUUCCUUCACAACACCAACAGGUUCAGGUACCCUCGAGACAGGUGAUCCCGACGGCACGCAACUGGUGUGGCAGUACGAUGAGGAGAACGACCGCCUGUACGUGAACUAUCCAGAAGACUAAGGCGUGGUCGUGAUCAUGGGCAAGCAUGCAGGGUAGCUAGUCAUUUCUCAUGUUUUGUAGUCCGUAGUGGAACUACCUUGUUUGGAUGCGUGAUGUAACUCUGAUAUAUUUAUGAGAUGGCAGUUGAAUCCCUUAUUGUCAUUCUUCUAUUAUUAUGUAUGUGCUAUGUUACCGUGCUUGCGAAACGCUUAGAUGCGCUUCUUUCCAAUUCGGGGCCUCGUUCCCCAAAUCAGAAAGGACUGCAUCUUAGUCGUUACAAGUUGGUAAUCAGAGCCUUACGACCACGGGAGAAUUUGUGUGAUCAUACUUGGCCGAGUCGAG
RNAcentral lists this long non-coding RNA (4672 nucleotides) under Hordeum vulgare. Its description in RNAcentral is "long non-coding RNA (HVUL_LNC011646)". Lineage: Eukaryota; Viridiplantae; Streptophyta; Magnoliopsida; Poales; Poaceae. The record is from RNAcentral.